GGACAGGAAUGGUACUUUUAAAGAAAAGUUUAAUGAUUAUAGUUGCUAUGACUGCCACAGCUUGCGAACUGUCAAAAGAUGGAAUAUGUUCUAGCAAAUGAGGCUUAAACAGUGUAAUACAACAUUAAAAUGUUGACUUGAAGAGCCAAAUACACCUUUUAAAGCAAAACACUUCUGGAGUACACAUGUAAAGCUAUAAAACUUGAAUACUGAAGACUGAGAACUCCAGUUUGUCUGAGGUAGUUCCUGUUUUUAUAAAAAUACAGUUUAAUCUUACUUUGUGCUUUUUCUUCAAGUCCUAAAGUGUAUUCAGUUCAACUGCUUCUAGAGUAGAUGCACAGAUAGCUCUUCCCUCCAGUGACAGAGCAGAGCAUGAAAGGGCUUUUCGUGACUGGAGGUUGAGCACAGUAAGAAUAAAAAUGGAGCCAUUCAAGCCAGGAAUGUUGAACUGCUUAACCACAUACAAAUAGUGACAACAGCAUAAAGCUGCAGAACAUACCCAGGCCUAACAUGCAGAAGAUGGAGAGCAGCUGGUAAGCUAAACUGACUGCAGAGAACAGCUGCUCAGUAAGAAGAACUGCCAAAAGGAGACAUGGGGCUCCUAGGAAGAGGUAGUAGGUUGCAUAGUUUUAGGGCAGGGAUUUUGCUCGCAAGGAGGUAACUAUACAACCUGCUGCCUUUCUUAGGGCUUUAUUAUAACAACAGGACCAUUGGCUCUGUCUUAACUUCAGCAGCUUUAACACGUGAAGAGAAAGGACAAACUAUUCCUAAGCAUAUUGAGGCUUAUUGAAGCUGGUGUAUGAGAAGGCAUGGUGCUAAACUUGAGUUUAAUAAUGCUAGUUGAAGAUCAGCAUGGUAAAGUGCUGCAUUUGAGGGUGUACUUGCCAUUUUGGUGACAUUAGUGCGAUACCCUGCAGGAGAGAGGCUAUGCUUGGAAUGUAACUCCUUCAAAACCAAGAUUUAAGUUCUCUAUUGCAUUAUGCAUAUCUAAAAGUUCUAUCAAUACAACAUACCUACCAACAAGUAACUAAAAUACAUAUUCCUUUUGGCUUUGCAUGUCCAACAAAGACUAGUUCUGUUUUUCCCCAAACAAUCAGCUUGACAAUUCGUCUGUAAGCUGGUGGUUUCUCUACAUAUAAGCACUCCUAGUAAAAAGUAGCUCUCGGUCACUCAUUAAAUGAAUGAUUGCUUGGUACCCUCUGUCAUGGGCUUGCAGGUUAAGCAAGUAGUCCAUAAUUUGUUCUUUUAGGGCUUGAUCCCAAUACCUUACACCACGGGAUACAGAGACUUAAUUUAAUGCCAAAGCCUGUUACAGCAUUGAAAUCUUCUGUCUAUGCUAGCCAACACACUGACA
This is a long non-coding RNA of Nothoprocta perdicaria, 1354 nucleotides long. RefSeq lists it as uncharacterized. The record is from RefSeq and is a predicted model, not a curated record. NCBI's taxonomy places the organism in Eukaryota, Metazoa, Chordata, Aves, Tinamiformes, Tinamidae. The transcript is spliced from 2 exons.